This 74-nucleotide transfer RNA is filed under the name Phycisphaerales bacterium. Its description in RNAcentral is "tRNA-Arg". It matches the Rfam family "tRNA". From Rfam's summary of the family: Transfer RNA (tRNA) molecules are approximately 80 nucleotides in length. Their secondary structure includes four short double-helical elements and three loops (D, anti-codon, and T loops). The record is from RNAcentral. Lineage: Bacteria; Pseudomonadati; Planctomycetota; Phycisphaerae; Phycisphaerales.
GCGGGCGUAGCUCAAUUGGAUAGAGCACCUGACUACGGAUCAGGAGGUUACAGGUUCGACUCCUGUCGCCCGUG